Molecule: long non-coding RNA, 667 nt
Filed under: Homo sapiens (human)
Lineage: Eukaryota; Metazoa; Chordata; Mammalia; Primates; Hominidae
Description: HSALNT0338362
Source: RNAcentral
ACAAAUAAUUAAACAACAUCUUUGGAGUUUGCUGUGACUUCUGUACAUCUAACAAGCUGUACUUUCACAGAAGCUUUCUGGAGGUUGCACAGUUAUUAAAACCAGUUAGGGGCCUUAUCUUUUGGGAAACAAAAACUUACAUUCCUUAGAGCCAAGGAGAUGCCCCGACUAAGAACACAUCUGCGGCACUAAUUUCAUCAGCGUUUCUGUCUUCAGGAAUUCAAGGUCUAAUUUUGCUUAUCUAACAACAGUCCAGUUGGGGGAAAUGAAAGGGUCCAUUGAUCACUCUGUUGGGUGAGAGAACAGGAUGACCCAUGCUGAAGGAUGUCACACUAUCACACUGAGGCUGGAAGUCCAAGGUGAAGAUGUUGGCAGGGUUGGCUCCUUCUGAGGCUGUGAGGAAAGGAUCUGUUCCAGACCUCUCUCCUUUACUUUGUGGAUGGCCGCCUUGUCCCUGUGUCCUCACCUAAUCUUCCCUCUGUACGUGUGUCCAAAUUUCCUCUUUUUAUAAAGAUGCCACUCAUAUUAGAUUUGGCCCAGCCUAAUGACCUCCUUUCCACUUAGUUACCUUUUGAAAGACUGUCUCCCAAUACGGUCACAUUCUGUUUUAGCCAGGUCUGGCUACUAUUACAGAAUACCCUAGGCUGUGCCUCAGAGUUCUGGAGGC